RNAcentral lists this unclassified non-coding RNA (596 nucleotides) under Hevea brasiliensis (rubber tree). The record is from RNAcentral. Lineage: Eukaryota; Viridiplantae; Streptophyta; Magnoliopsida; Malpighiales; Euphorbiaceae.
CACCGGAAAGCAUCAAUUAUACAAAUGAUUACAAGAAAUUUCUUUGUCAGGCACUAUCCCAGGGUAAGCCACUAGCCGUUUGUCUCCAGUGCAAAGAGUUACCUAGGUGGUUAAGUUAUCGAGGGGAGGGAUCGUCGUUAUCAUUUCAUGUACCCACAGUUUCAGAAGGCGACAUCAAGGGUCUCAUUUUGUGGAUUAAAUGUGCAAGACAUGACACAACUGCUAAUGUAGUUAUUACAGCUACAUGCAAGAGCAAUGGUUCCACAACAUGGGAGAUGGCAUCUGACUUCAACCCUGUUGCAUGUCGUGAUUAUCAUUCUUUUGUGACAUAUUUACCAUUUCAAUGUGCAUUUGAAAGCGGAGAAAAAUUGGAAAUUGCACUUCAGGCUGGCGCUAACAAUUUGACAAACGACUUUGGUGUCUCUGUGAUAUGUUCAGAAGGCGAAUCCUGGUUUGAGAAAAAGAUUAAAAUGACAAGUUCUUCCCAAGAAUUUUGUUGUCGUGACAAAAGAAAUUGCAUGCGCAAUAUGCCAUCACAAGAUUACUUAUGGUGUAGACGGUGGGAUUAAACUAAUAAAAUUGAGAGAGAUUUCUUU